CUGUUUUACUGAAGCUAAAAGGAAACUGAACUGCUAGGGUCUGAAGGUGGGUGGAGCCGGGGUGACCAAGGCGUUGGUGAAGCCGUGCGACAGUGACGACGCCAGCAAAGUGGUGCGGGAUGGUUGUCUUGGCCGCCGUCACGGAGUACAGGUCGCCGGUGGAAUCACAGCGGAGAAUCACCGUCCGGGUUCCCAGAUCCUUGACAGAAAAGCCAAACUAGUCAAACUCUACUGAAACAGGAUUGUCACGAUAAAUUUCACGAACAGAGAGAAGAUUUUUUAUGAGGGAAGGUGAGACCAGUAUGUUGUGCAAUUGGAUGGGGGAGGUGCCGGAAAUAAGAGAGCCGCAACCAGUGUGCGUGAUGGGAAGAUGCUCACCACUGCCAACGAUAAUGUGCGAAUGAGAGGUGGAUGGGAGAAGGGACUGAAGAGUACCGGGGUUGUUGGUCAUGUGAGAUGCAGCGCCUGAG
Molecule: long non-coding RNA, 470 nt
Filed under: Hordeum vulgare
Lineage: Eukaryota; Viridiplantae; Streptophyta; Magnoliopsida; Poales; Poaceae
Description: long non-coding RNA (HVUL_LNC000873)
Source: RNAcentral